UACGUAGGGGGCAAGCGUUGUCCGGAAUCAUUGGGCGUAAAGCGUGCGCAGGCGGUCCGCAAAGUCUGAUGUGAAAGCCCCGGGCUCAACCUGGGAACUGCAUUGGAAACUAACGGGCUCGAGUGUGGCAGAGGGGGGUGGAAUUCCACGUGUAGCAGUGAAAUGCGUAGAGAUGUGGAGGAACACCGAUGGCGAAGGCAGCCCCCUGGGCUAACACUGACGCUCAGGCACGAAAGCGUGGGGAGCAAACAGG
RNAcentral lists this ribosomal RNA (253 nucleotides) under uncultured bacterium. RNAcentral's name for it is "partial 16S ribosomal RNA". It matches the Rfam family "Bacterial small subunit ribosomal RNA", at positions 524 to 776 of the family's 1533-position model. The record is from RNAcentral.